UUCGGUCCUGAGUACAGUGGCGCACGGGUGAGUAACACGUGACUAACCUACCCUGGAGUGGGGAAUAACUGAGGGAAACCUUAGCUAAUACCGCAUAAUACCUACGGGUCAAAGGAGCAAUUCGCUUCAGGAGGGGGUCGCGGCCGAUUAGUUAGUUGGCGGGGUAAUGGCCCACCAAGACAAUGAUCGGUAUCCGGCCUGAGAGGGCGCACGGACACACUGGAACUGAAACACGGUCCAG
This 241-nucleotide ribosomal RNA is filed under the name uncultured bacterium. Its description in RNAcentral is "partial 16S ribosomal RNA". It matches the Rfam family "Bacterial small subunit ribosomal RNA", at positions 79 to 334 of the family's 1533-position model. The record is from RNAcentral.